This 68-nucleotide small RNA is filed under the name Alteribacillus persepolensis. RNAcentral's name for it is "Bacillus sp. HS-136 Bacillaceae-1 RNA". It matches the Rfam family "Bacillaceae-1 RNA". Lineage: Bacteria; Bacillati; Bacillota; Bacilli; Caryophanales; Bacillaceae. The record is from Rfam by way of RNAcentral.
AGUGAAGGAACUUCUACCAAGAACGCACACGUCCUAUGUCGGACGUUGAAGUCACCACAUCCUGUGGA